Physcomitrium patens is the source of this 2703-nucleotide non-coding RNA. The record is from RefSeq and is a predicted model, not a curated record. NCBI's taxonomy places the organism in Eukaryota, Viridiplantae, Streptophyta, Bryopsida, Funariales, Funariaceae.
GCCGCCUCACGCGUUGAAGUCAGUGCAAUUGCAUCGGAAAUCAACGAGGGCGAGGAUCGAUCCUGUCGUUACCUAGUGUUCGUAUGCGCCUUGUCGAAUUCGUCACCCACUUGGAGCUUCACCUGACCCCAAGCACUGACCACGCUGCCUCCUACGCCUGGCCGCAAUCCCAAGGACUUCUACAGGCUCUGGAUCCAUCCAACAGAGCGCUUCUCAACCUACCGGGUUCAAUUCUACACGAUGAUCACACGUAAACGAGGGCUGAGCGCUGGACUCUGCGAUGCCGAUCAUUGCGUGUCUAGCUUCCUCUCACUCGCUAGUCAACAGGAGCAGCUUCGGGAAGAUAGACCGCUUUUCCAACACCAGACCUCUUCAACAAAUAUGUAUGUUGGUUAUUGGUUGCUUGAUGGGACUGAGGACCGGACUCCAGCAAUAUGCCUCUGUUUACUCUUUACAAUGAAGUUUCAGGGUUCCUUGAAGGCUUGUAUUCUACUGGGUAGACAAUUCCUCUACGCGGAUUCAUGUUAUCAUGUGACGUCUUGGUGUUAAUUGUUGGGUGCGUGCAGUCUUGGGCACUGAGGGUUCCGAUGUAGCGCCCCAAGUAGAAGUAGCGUGGUUUCUUUGAUGAGCAAGCGUUACCGAAGCCGCUGAUGCUGCAGCUACCUACUAACAGCACGGAAUUCUCUUCAGAUGCUGGUGGCAAAAAACUCCGCUCCGAUGUUGGCUUUGCGGGUUUGCAUUCACUCUUAUUGGUCUUCUCGCACCAGGAUUUGGUCAAUCUUUGAUGGUGUUAUAGUGUGUUGUGUGCACCAGAUAAGCUGGUUGUUCGUAAACCGCGGCUGCUUUUCAACUAAGAGUUCAGAUCCGUUCACCAAAUGGUCCCGAUGUUGCGUGCAGCAAGUCGACGCAUUAGUAAGGGGACUUGUUGAAACGUCAGUAAGGUAGCGCGCAACAUAAUUUCUGCGUAGGAGCUCCAGUGCUUUUGCAUUUUCAUCGCACAGAAGCUUAAGGCGGCGGAAGUUGUAAGUAACUGAGAAGCAAUGUAGAACCAUGAGAGACGACUCCAAAACGAUUUAACAACUCACUUCAGGAACCAUACGUUGGGCUGUGGUUAUCAUCUAACCAUCACCAUGAGGGGGUAUAUUCGCCUCGACCUUGGUUAUCUGCCUCUUGCAAUCUCAUUUUGCGGAGUCUAGAAUUCUCCUCUAAGAGCGGUGACUGCGUCAAGCGACUAGAGCACUACCUCCUGUUUUCUUGUCUUCUAAAACGUCUGAGCACCACUGGUGCUGAGUCCGUACAAAAGACUUGGAUUAUUAGAAUGCGAACCUUUUCAUUGAGCGCCUACAUCGAUGAUGCGCAGUUGUGAAGUUUGGGACAUGCAGCAGCGCAUUGUGUUACAGCACUAGCGAAGCUAACGUUGCGCUCACUAUCAUAGAGUGUGGGAAGUUGUCUUCGUCUGUUUGUCUAUAUUCUUUUACGAAGCAUGUCGCUUGAAUCAAUCUUUUAAUUUUGCAUUCCGAUCUGGAUGGCUAAUUUCGAUGAUGCGUUGCAUCGAUGGUGGCUGAGUUGUCCGCAUGACCCCAGGCAUUUCUGCAAACGUAGCCCCAUUUUCGAUUAUAAUAGCUCACGCUAACUCCACAUCUUCAUUGCCUCGUUAGGUCGAUACCGACAAAGUAGGGAAAUAUGAUUUUUAGAUUAAGCGUAUACAGGAGAUAGACAUUCGAAGAGGAAAAUGCCGCCUUUGAGAAGAGAGGAAGUUUCUCUUGCGCCAUCACUGUAAUCGUACACAGACGGCAUCUCCUGUCUAAUUCACGCAAUCACAGUAAUCGUACACAACCCUGCAGAUCCUGUGCAAUCUUGGGCGAAGUUGGACUUCUCAACGUCGGCAAGAGCAUAUAGAAUCAUGUCACCUUGUGUAUGUUGAAAGAGAACGAUCAAGAGAGACGCCUAAGGGAGUCGCCAGCACAGGACUUGCCCCAAGCUUCAUCCAAACAACCUUAUUCAAGUUCGCCAGCAUUGAAGCACAGUCUUGAAUCCAUUCGCAACAUGAUUCUUUUUUUUCAGCUCUUCUGCAGGGCAAGAAAGGCGAAGUUAAAGUCUACGUUGCGGACAUCAGCAGCACUUUCUGCAUGCAAUUUUCGACGUUUCUGGAAGCUUUAGCAACUCGGUUCAUGAAAGUUUUACGCAGGCUAUCAACCAUCAUGGUUUUCUGCCAAGAAACAGUCCUGAAGGUGAUGCAGCAACGUCAAGCGAUAAAAGACAGUUCCCUGAGAUUCUCGUCACAAAGACAUGGGCUUCAAACGCGCUCCUUACUGCUACAAUGACGUCGACUACAUUCACACACGUCGAAAAAGAUACCACAAAGGCUGAGGUCUUGACAUCAUUCACACAGAUUACACCUCACCUCUAAAGAGAAGGUGGUCAUUUUCAACACUACUUGGAAGCUCAUCACAAUCCCGUCACCUUAAACUAACAAACAACACCAGAAACAAGGAGCAUUCAUUCACCCAGUGAACCAUUUUGUUUACAGAGGAUAUUCGAUGCUUGUGAUUCUAUAAAUAGUAAUAAUUUCAAAAAGAUUUAUUGAUCUUUAACUCUUCCACUUUACUAUGGAUUAUAUGUUUUUAAUCUUAAUUCCUUUAUUGAUAUGACGUAUCUAUCUUUUAUUAUUACCUUUGUAAAUACAUAAGCAAACAUCUUUUA